ACUCCCCCAUGUCUCUCUUUCGUUCCCCUCCUCUCGUCCCUCUCCUCCUGCGCGUGCACCGCUGCCCUCAUCACCACGGGCUGCCUCCCCGCGUGCUCCCUGACUGCCCUGCGCCAUAGAACCGUGCCCGUCCGCUCCACGUGCUCGGCUGCUUCGCCCACGCCAAGGAACCCAAGCCGGAGCCCCAGCUGCCUCGCCGGAUUCGCGUCGUCCUCGACAUUACACCCGCCGGCGACCUCCGUCGAAUUCGUCAUCAUCGGGCCUUCCCCGAGCUCGCUAUGCACCUCUACAGGGCCCAUACCCCGAGACCGAUGCCGAUGUCCCUGUGAUCGACUACGUCGCCGACGACCCUUUUUCCCUUUCAGCGGAGCUUCCAGACCCCGAGACCGAUGCUGAAGUCCCUGUGAUCGACUACGUCACCGACGACCCUUCUUCCCUUUCAGCGGAGCUUCCAGGGAGUCAAGGAAGGAUCUCUAGGCGUUGAUGCUACAACAUGCUUGUUAAAUAUUAAAAUGCUACUCUUUACUCUUCUACAUGCUGCAAGAUGCUUGGAGCUGCUUGAAGAUGCUAGUCUUCGAUAGACUAGUCCUUCCACCCUCUAUUCUGGCAUUCCGCAGUUCAGUCCACAAAUACAAACCUUCCAUUUGAUACCAAUGCAUACUUAGUAUAGAUCUGAUGCUUGCGAGUACUUUGGAUGGGUACUCACGGUUUCUUUGCUACCCCCUUUUCCCCCUUCUUUCUUCUUUCUGGUUGUUGCAACCAGAUGGUGGAUCCCUGGAGCUAGAUGCCACCGCCGAUGGGUGCUACUACGUGAAGAUCCCCGAUGACCAGGAGUAGUUAGGAGGUCCCAGGCAGGAGGCCUUGCCUCUCGAUCGUUGUUGCUUUUGUGCUAGCCUUCUUAAGGCAUCCUUUUUUAACUUAUGUCUGUACUAUGAUAUUGUUGCUUCCGCUGACUCUUGUGUAUCAAGCUACGUAUUCGAGCCCUCGAGGCCCC
RNAcentral lists this ribosomal RNA (994 nucleotides) under Triticum aestivum (bread wheat). Its description in RNAcentral is "partial small subunit ribosomal RNA". The record is from RNAcentral. Lineage: Eukaryota; Viridiplantae; Streptophyta; Magnoliopsida; Poales; Poaceae.